RNAcentral lists this unclassified non-coding RNA (325 nucleotides) under soil metagenome. RNAcentral's name for it is "partial contains 5.8S ribosomal RNA, internal transcribed spacer 2, and large subunit ribosomal RNA". The stretch from base 1 to 120 matches the Rfam family "5.8S ribosomal RNA", at positions 35 to 154 of the family's 154-position model. The record is from RNAcentral.
GAUGAAGAACGUAGUGAAAUGCGAUAAGUAAUGUGAAUUGCAGAAUUCAGUGAAUCAUCGAAUCUUUGAACGCACAUUGCGCCCCUUGGUAUUCCGAGGGGCAUGCCUGUUCGAGCGUCAUAUUAACCACUCCCGCUUGCGGGGUCUUGGGCUUCGCCUCCGGGCGGGCCUUAAAAUCAGUGGCGGUGCCGUCGGGCUCUACGCGUAGUAAAUUUUCUCGCGAUAGGGUCCCGGUGGAUGCUUGCCAACAACCCCCAACUUCUUAAGGUUGACCUCGGAUCAGGUAGGGAUACCCGCUGAACUUAAGCAUAUCAAUAACGGAGGA